This 74-nucleotide transfer RNA is filed under the name Candidatus Latescibacterota bacterium. RNAcentral's name for it is "tRNA-Thr". It matches the Rfam family "tRNA". Rfam says of the family: Transfer RNA (tRNA) molecules are approximately 80 nucleotides in length. Lineage: Bacteria; Pseudomonadati; Candidatus Latescibacterota. The record is from RNAcentral.
GCCCGCGUAGCUCAGUUAGGUAGAGCGUUUCCUUGGUAAGGAAGAGGUCUCCGGUUCGAGUCCGGUCGCGGGCU